RNAcentral lists this transfer RNA (73 nucleotides) under Gymnopis multiplicata. RNAcentral describes it as "tRNA-Asn". It matches the Rfam family "tRNA". From Rfam's summary of the family: Transfer RNA (tRNA) molecules are approximately 80 nucleotides in length. Their secondary structure includes four short double-helical elements and three loops (D, anti-codon, and T loops). Further hydrogen bonds mediate the characteristic L-shaped molecular structure. tRNAs have two regions of fundamental functional importance: the anti-codon, which is responsible for specific mRNA codon recognition, and the 3' end, to which the tRNAs corresponding amino acid is attached (by aminoacyl-tRNA synthetases). tRNAs cope with the degeneracy of the genetic code in two manners: having more than one tRNA (with a specific anti-codon) for a particular amino acid; and 'wobble' base-pairing, i.e. permitting non-standard base-pairing at the 3rd anti-codon position. The record is from RNAcentral. Lineage: Eukaryota; Metazoa; Chordata; Amphibia; Gymnophiona; Dermophiidae.
UAGAUUGGAGCUCGCUGGAUAGAGUGUUUAGCUGUUAACUAAAAGGUUGUGGGAUUGAAGCCCAUCGAUCUAA